This 86-nucleotide transfer RNA is filed under the name Candidatus Gottesmanbacteria bacterium RIFCSPHIGHO2_01_FULL_42_27. Its description in RNAcentral is "tRNA-Leu". It matches the Rfam family "tRNA". From Rfam's summary of the family: Transfer RNA (tRNA) molecules are approximately 80 nucleotides in length. Their secondary structure includes four short double-helical elements and three loops (D, anti-codon, and T loops). Further hydrogen bonds mediate the characteristic L-shaped molecular structure. tRNAs have two regions of fundamental functional importance: the anti-codon, which is responsible for specific mRNA codon recognition, and the 3' end, to which the tRNAs corresponding amino acid is attached (by aminoacyl-tRNA synthetases). tRNAs cope with the degeneracy of the genetic code in two manners: having more than one tRNA (with a specific anti-codon) for a particular amino acid; and 'wobble' base-pairing, i.e. permitting non-standard base-pairing at the 3rd anti-codon position. RNAcentral also lists the same sequence under 4 other names. Lineage: Bacteria; Candidatus Gottesmaniibacteriota. The record is from RNAcentral.
GCCGCGGUGGCGAAAUUAGGUAUACGCGCAGGACUUAAAAUCCUGUGGUGUAAUACACCGUGUGGGUUCGAUUCCCACCCGCGGCA